AUGAGUAGUUUGAAAGAUGACACAUUUUGCUCGAUCUGUGCAGUGUUUCUUGUUGUUUACUUACCUGCGAGUGUUGAUUUCGUGUGCCUACAGUCGACGAAGCAGCUUUCGAUUGUUGUUGCCCUCUGGCUUAGCUUUACGGGUGUGAAAAGGAGUGAUGAUUCGAAGACUGCGUGAUAACUACGCCACGCUACAGUGGCUAGAUCUAGCCACUGUAGCCACGCGGUCGUGUGCAAAAUUUUCUUUCGAAUUUUGAAAAGGACGACAAAAGUAUGUCAUCGAUUCAAGUCAGAGGAAAAUUCAGUAAGCUUGUACUGACUGGUGGCAGCUGCUACAGCUUGGAAGUACUGCGUAUUGUGGUCUGACAGAGCGUCUGUGUCGUUGCCGUUUGCUGGUUCCCGUUUAGUGCAUCGCAUAGGCGCACUGCGUAGGAACUCGCCUUUCACGUGACUGUUGUGUUCCACGAGUUCCUAUUUGGUUCUGCUUUGUGAAGCAACUCAAACGCAGUCGUCGGAUAUGUGAGCGGACUGCGGUCUGACAUGAUGAUGUGCGCGCGUUGGUUAUGCCGGUGUCAGACGGGAAAUUUCGAUCGCUAUUUGAUCCUACAGCGUUAUUUGGGUUAAUCAGCGACUAUUGCUAAUCGGGACGAUUAAAUCUGCUUCAAUAAUAAUAGGACAAAGGGUGGUGCCAAAAUUUCUCUAGAAGGCUAGGGGCAGUUUCGUCGAGUAGCCGCGAGGUUGGGAAUGUAUUUGUUGUGUUUGAACGAUGUUUGCAUUUAGGGGAGCAAUGUAAGAAAAUUUUCAAUGGGUUAAAGCCUCUCGAAAAUGCAUAACAGAAGAUGAAGAAGUGAGACAGGGCCUCAUCUCACAACUAUAUAGGCCUCAGCCAUUCUGCUGGCCAGUGCAUGGAAGAGAGCAUCAAAGGAGCAGAGUAAACAAGUGCAGAAAACAACUUUAGAUCUUCACAUCCUAAAGAACGAGUCUACUGAUAUUGCCGCACCACAGUUCCUCCCACGGCCUCAAUAUUAUUUUUGUUGAGAUGCCAAAAUUUGUGCACAAUGAUCUGGUCUGUGGAAUGUAGGCAUUCUGCUAGGGACAAGUAUGUGCACAAGUAUAGGUGCCUUAUGGAAAACAUGGACACAGAAGAUUGCCGCAUUUUCUAAGAGCCUUUCUGUAUUACGCUUUGUGCCCCUGCAACAUGUUUUUUCUUGGUUUUGAAGAGCUGCACUAAUAUAAAGAUAUUUGUACAGUUCUACCAAGUUGCCAGGCUCAAC
Long non-coding RNA from Rhipicephalus microplus (southern cattle tick), 1273 nucleotides. Lineage: Eukaryota; Metazoa; Arthropoda; Arachnida; Ixodida; Ixodidae. The record is from RefSeq and is a predicted model, not a curated record.